RNAcentral lists this ribosomal RNA (278 nucleotides) under uncultured bacterium. Its description in RNAcentral is "partial 16S ribosomal RNA". It matches the Rfam family "Bacterial small subunit ribosomal RNA", at positions 80 to 354 of the family's 1533-position model. The record is from RNAcentral.
UACUCCCGCCGGCGACCGGCGCACGGGUGAGUAACACGUAUGAAACCUGCCCGUAGCGAGGGGAUAAGCGGAAGAAAUUCCGUCUAAUACCGCGUAACAACCCGAGGAGGCAUCUCCUCGGGUUUAAAGGAAGCGAUUCCGGCUACGGAUGGUCAUGCGUCGCAUUAGCUAGUUGGCGGGGUAACGGCCCACCAAGGCGACGAUGCGUAGGGGUUCUGAGAGGAAGGUCCCCCACACUGGUACUGAGACACGGACCAGACUCCUACGGAAGGCAGCAG